GUGGCAAUGGCGGCGGCUACCAUGCAGUCGACGGAAGGCCCUUCGGGGUACUCGAGUGGCGAACGGGUGAGUAAUGGGGGGUGAUCUGCCCUGCACUCUGGGAUAAGCCUGGGAAACUGGGUCUAAUACCGGAUAGGACCACACACUUCAUGGUGAGUGGUGCAAAGCUUUUGCGGUGUGGGAUGAGCCCGCGGCCUAUCAGCUUGUUGGUGGGGUAAUGGCCCACCAAGGCGACGACGGGUAGCCGGCCUGAGAGGGUGACCGGCCACACUGGGACUGAGAUACGGCCCAGACUCCUACGGGAGGCAGCAGUGGGGAAUAUUGCACAAUGGGCGCAAGCCUGAUGCAGCGACGCCGCGUGAGGGAUGACGGCCUUCGGGUUGUAAACCUCUUUCAGUAGGGACGAAGCGAAAGUGACGGUACCUACAGAAGAAGGACCGGCCAACUACGUGCCAGCAGCCGCGGUAAUACGUAGGGUCCGAGCGUUGUCCGGAAUUACUGGGCGUAAAGAGCUCGUAGGUGGUUUGUCGCGUUGUUCGUGAAAACUCACAGCUUAACUGUGGGCGUGCGGGCGAUACUGGCAUACUAGAUUUCUGCCGGGAGACUGGAAUUCCUGGUGUAACGGUGGAAUGCG
This 634-nucleotide ribosomal RNA is filed under the name Mycobacteroides chelonae. RNAcentral describes it as "bacterial SSU rRNA". It matches the Rfam family "Bacterial small subunit ribosomal RNA", at positions 30 to 690 of the family's 1533-position model. The record is from RNAcentral. Lineage: Bacteria; Bacillati; Actinomycetota; Actinomycetes; Mycobacteriales; Mycobacteriaceae.